UCGAACGGAGAGUGAAGAGCUUGCUUUUCACUUUUAGUGGCGGACGGGUGAGUAACACGUGAGCAAUCUGCCUCUGUGAGGGGGAUAACGUCUGGAAACGGACGCUAAUACCGCAUAACAUAUAGUGGCCGCAUGGCCGGUAUAUCAAAGAUUUAUCGCACAGAGAUGAGCUCGCGGCUGAUUAGCUAGUUGGCGGGGUAACGGCCCACCAAGGCGACGAUCAGUAGCCGGACUGAGAGGUUGAACGGCCACAUUGGGACUGAGACACGGCCCAGACUCCUACGGGAGGCAGCAGUGGGGGAUAUUGCACAAUGGGGGAAACCCUGAUGCAGCGACGCCGCGUGAGGGAAGACGGCCUUCGGGUUGUAAACCUCUGUCGCAGGGGACGAAGGAAGUGACGGUACCCUGUGAGGAAGCCACGGCUAACUACGUGCCAGCAGCCGCGGUAAUACGUAGGUGGCAAGCGUUGUCCGGAAUUACUGGGUGUAGAGGGAGCGUAGGCGGGAGUGCAAGUUGAAUGUAUAAACUAUCGGCUCAACUGAUAGAAGCGUUCAAAACUGCACUUCUUGAGUGAAGUAGAGGCAGGCGGAAUUCCUAGUGUAGCGGUGAAAUGCGUAGAUAUUAGGAGGAACACCAGUGGCGAAGGCGGCCUGCUGGGCUUUAACUGACGCUGAGGCUCGAAAGCGUGGGUAGCAAACAGGAUUAGAUACCCUGGUAGUCCACGCUGUAAACGAUGAUUACUAGGUGUGGGGGGACUGACCCCUUCCGUGCCGGAGUUAACACAAUAAGUAAUC
RNAcentral lists this ribosomal RNA (794 nucleotides) under uncultured bacterium. RNAcentral describes it as "bacterial SSU rRNA". It matches the Rfam family "Bacterial small subunit ribosomal RNA", at positions 62 to 869 of the family's 1533-position model. The record is from RNAcentral.